This 357-nucleotide small RNA is filed under the name uncultured bacterium. Its description in RNAcentral is "bacterial SSU rRNA". The stretch from base 1 to 259 matches the Rfam family "Bacterial small subunit ribosomal RNA", at positions 81 to 358 of the family's 1533-position model. The record is from RNAcentral.
UGUAGCAAUACAGAGUGGCGGACGGGUGAGUAACGCGUGGGAACAUGCCCUUCGGUUCGGAAUAACCCCGGGAAACUGGGCUAAUACCGGAUGGUUCCUACGGGAUAAAGAUUUAUCGCCAAAAGAGGAGUCCGCGUCCGAUUAGCUAGUUGGUGAGGUAAAGGCUCACCUAGGCGACGAUCCCUAGCUGGUCUGAGAGGAUGACCAGCCACACUGGAACUGAGACACGGUCCAGACUCCUAGGGGAAACAGCAGUGGGACUCCUACGGGAGGCAGCAGUGGGACUCUUCCUCGAGGCANCGAUGGGACUCCUACUGGAUCCAUCAGUNUAUUCUANAAAUCUCCAGCGAAUUUUAG